AUUAAUAGUUAAGAUCUUAAAACCUAAAGAAUUUGGCGGUAUUAUAGUCUAUUUAGAGGAAUUUGCUAAGUAAUCGAUAAUCCACGUGGAACCUUACUUAUAUAGAUUCUUGUAUAUCGCUGUUUAAGAUAUUUUUAGAUAAAUUUUUGAAAUAUAAUAAUAAUUAAUAUUUCAAGUCAAGGUGCAGUAGUAUAUAAGUUGAAUAGUGAAUUACAAUAAAUUUUAUUUAUUAUGAAUUAUUAUUGAAAAUUAGUUUGAAAGUGAAUUUAAUUGUAAUUUUGUGAAGAUUAUUGAAAUGAUUUUGGCUCUAUAAUAUGU
RNAcentral lists this ribosomal RNA (318 nucleotides) under Chopardiella latipennis. Its description in RNAcentral is "partial 12S ribosomal RNA". The record is from RNAcentral. Lineage: Eukaryota; Metazoa; Arthropoda; Insecta; Mantodea; Mantidae.